GCACGUAGUUGGCCGGUGCUUCUUUAGCUAGGUACCGUCACUUGCGCUUCGUCCCUACCGAAAGAGGUUUACAACCCGAAGGCCGUCAUCCCUCACGCGGCGUUGCUGGAUCAGGCUUCCGCCCAUUGUCCAAUAUUCCCCA
Molecule: ribosomal RNA, 142 nt
Filed under: uncultured bacterium
Lineage: Bacteria
Description: partial 16S ribosomal RNA
Source: RNAcentral